GGUUUCUGGCAUAUGAUAAUGGCCCUGUCCAGGAAAGGAGUUUCAACACCCAACUAUAAAUAGUUUCUAGAGGAAACAAGAGCUAGUGUUAGAUUUUACUUGAACAUAUGGACAAAGACAUCCCAUUUUUUCCAUAUGUUCAAUAGUGUUGGACAUGAUAACUCUCUGAGAUCCAGACAUGAAGCAUAAUUGUGUUGUCAUUUAAAAAAUAAAAAAUGGAUAUAUCAUAUUGCUGUCAACACGGUUCAAGCCACAGAGACUACUGUGGUGCAAUAAAUGACUAACAACCUUAUAGCACAACGGUUGUUUUUUUGAGUUUAAUUAGAAGAACUGUAUAUUGUUUGAUUUUGUAUAAUAUUGAAGAAGAUAGAUAACCAAAGAAUAGUCAUAACUUUGAAAAUAUUCAAUUUUAGUUUUUAUUUUUUUUCCUAAAAAGAAAUAAUUCACUUAAUUUUUUCAAUUUUCCUAUGAAAAUAGAAAGUGGGGGACAUUCUAAGUGUAUUUGAUGCAAAUGGCCACAGGUUUUAGUUCAAUAUCUAAUAAGCCAAUUUUGAACAAGGAAAGUUAUUUUAUCAUACGCAAUAUAAGACUUUCUUUUACACAUUUACACUUACAUUC
RNAcentral lists this unclassified non-coding RNA (618 nucleotides) under Hevea brasiliensis (rubber tree). The record is from RNAcentral. Lineage: Eukaryota; Viridiplantae; Streptophyta; Magnoliopsida; Malpighiales; Euphorbiaceae.